AUUUAGCAUCAUUUAGCAUCAUUCAGCAUCAUUUAGCAUCUUUCAGUAUCAUUCAACAUCAUUCAGUAUCAUUCAGUAACAUUCAGCAUCAUUCAGUAUCAUUCAACAUCAUUCAACAUCAUUCACUAUCAUUCAACAUCAUUCAACAUCAUUCAGCAUCAUUUAGCAUCAUUCAGCAUCAUUUAGCAUCAUUCAGCAUCAUUUAGUAUCAUUCAACAUCAUUCAGCAUUAUUCAACAUCAUUCACCAUCAUUUAGCAUCAUUCAGCAGCAUUUAGCAUCAUUUAGCAUCAUUCAGCAUCAUUUAGCAUCAUUCAGUAUCAUUCAACACCAUUCAGCAUCAUUCAGCAUCAUUCAGCAUCAUUCAGCAUCAUUUAGCAUCAUUCAACAUCAUUCAGCAUCAUUCAGUAUCAUUCAGCAUCAUUUAGCAUCAUUGAGCAUCAUUUAGCAUCAUUCAGCAUCAUUUAGCAUCAUUCAACAUCAUUCAGCAUCAUUCAGUAUCAUUCAGCAUCAUUUAGCAUCAUUCAGCAUCAUUCAACAUCAUUCAGCAUCAUUCAGUAUCAUUCAGCAUCAUUCAGCAUCAUUCAGCAUCAUUUAGCAUCAUUCAGCAUCAUUCAGCAUCAUUUAGCAUCAUUCAGCAUCAUUUAGCAUCAUUCAGUAUCAUUCAACAUCAUUCAGCAUCAUUUAGCAACAUUCAGUAUCAUUCAGCAUCAUUCCGUAUCAUUCAACAUCAUUCAACAUCAUUCAAUAUCAUUCAACAUCAUUCAACAUCAUUCAACAUCAUUUAGCAUCAUUCAGCAUCAUUCAGUAUCAUUCAGCAUCAUUUAGCAUCAUUCAGCAUCAUUUAGCAUCAUUCAGCAUCAUUUACCAUCAUUCAGUAUCAUUCAACAUCAUUCCACAUCAUUCAGCAUCAUUUAGCAUCAUUCAGCAUCAUUUAGCAUCAUUUAGCAUCAUUCAGUAUCAUUUAGCAUCAUUCAGUAUCAUUUAGCAU
Molecule: non-coding RNA, 989 nt
Organism: Paramuricea clavata
Lineage: Eukaryota; Metazoa; Cnidaria; Anthozoa; Malacalcyonacea; Plexauridae
Source: the annotation of a GenBank genome assembly